GACGAACGCUGGCGGCGUGCUUAACACAUGCAAGUCGAACGAUGAACCCGGAGCUUGCUCCGGUGGAUUAGUGGCGAACGGGUGAGUAACACGUGAGUAACCUGCCCUUGACUCUGGGAUAACUGCGGGAAACUGUAGCUAAUACCGGAUACGACCCUCGGCGGCAUCGCCAGGGGGUGGAAAGAAUUUCGGUCAAGGAUGGACUCGCGGCCUAUCAGCUAGUUGGUGAGGUAACGGCUCACCAAGGCGACGACGGGUAGCCGGCCUGAGAGGGUGACCGGCCACACUGGGACUGAGACACGGCCCAGACUCCUACGGGAGGCAGCAGUGGGGAAUAUUGCACAAUGGGCGCAAGCCUGGUGCAACAACGCCGCGUGAGGGAUGACGGCCUUCGGGUUGUAAACCUCUUUUAGUAGGGAAGAAGCGAAAGUGACGGUACCUGCAGAAAAAGCACCGGCUAACUACGUGCCAGCCGCCGCAGUAA
This 484-nucleotide ribosomal RNA is filed under the name uncultured bacterium. RNAcentral's name for it is "partial 16S ribosomal RNA". It matches the Rfam family "Bacterial small subunit ribosomal RNA", at positions 28 to 523 of the family's 1533-position model. The record is from RNAcentral.